AGCAGCUGCGAUGCAAGAGGAAGGCACUUGGUCUGUCUGAACCUAAGCAGGGUUGGGCCUGGUUAGUACUUGCAUGGGAAACUGCUUGGGAAUACUGGGUGCUGCUGGGC
Ribosomal RNA from Mesocricetus auratus (golden hamster), 110 nucleotides. The record is from Ensembl. NCBI's taxonomy places the organism in Eukaryota, Metazoa, Chordata, Mammalia, Rodentia, Cricetidae.